This is a long non-coding RNA of Mustela erminea (ermine), 1771 nucleotides long. RefSeq lists it as uncharacterized. The transcript has 3 exons. The record is from RefSeq and is a predicted model, not a curated record. NCBI's taxonomy places the organism in Eukaryota, Metazoa, Chordata, Mammalia, Carnivora, Mustelidae.
AGGUGGCACAGUCAUGCCUAGCGACUGAAGCGGCAGCUCUCCGGGCAGGAGACGUGUGUUAGGCUCCCCUCUAAGCAGGGUAGCACUCAUGCUUCUGCAGAGGGUCUUAGCUUCAUCCCGCUUUCUGGACCUCUGGCACCAACUCACCCCUGCAUAGCACUUGUCCGACAGCAGCGCUUGGAAAGGGAGUCAACAGCUCUGACUCAGCCUGGGCCCUGCUGCUUCUCUAUGGGCCCAUUGUAAGAAUUCUGAAGAGGAAAAAGUGUCAUCGGGCCAAGAGCAGAGAACACCAGCAGGGCUGUAUGAAUCGGAUGGCCUCUGUCCUUGAAGAUUCUCAAGAACCUACUUCCUGGUAGAUCCCACUCACCAGAAUCAAAGCUGAGAAGAUCCCAUCAUCUGUUUCUGAGCCAUCUUUGCAACCAGGACUGGGACCCAUGAUUCGGGCUCUGCCAAUCAGAUGUUGUUCCCACCAAUAUUUUGAAUCAGAAGCUCAUGGAGGGAAGAAGCAGAGAUGUAAAGACUCCAGUUAUCAAUGAGUGACGGCCGUGGUGGUGGUAGCAAUUAUAUCUGGUUUCCAGAGGCAGUCAUGGCCUAUGAUAACUUCAUGGCAUCUUCCCUGGACCAGUUCUGCAGUAUGAUCUUCAAGCACUGUUCCCGGUAGCAGAGCCAAACGGCAAAGAUCUCUAGCCAGCCUUCUGUGGGCUCCCCGUAUCUUUUAAAUCAACUCCAUCUUGCUUCAAUCUUCCAGAAUCAGUUUUGGAUGCUUGCAACUGAAAAUCCAGGCUGAUGUGAGGACUGGAAGACCAAUGUUAGAACUGAGAACUACAGCAGGCUGGUGAGUCAACCGUUCCUAGCAGGUGGGGGGCCUCUUCUUCUGGCAAACUAUGUGGAAAUGGUGGGAAUCUCUGUCCCAAGAGGCAUGGACGCCAGUGCCGGAAGUUUCAGGCUGUACAACAGCUGGUGAAAGAGACAUCCGGGAUCUAAAUGUAAGUCAGCUUCAGAGUGGACAUGGUUGGUCAGGAGAUAUGAAAUGAUCAGCUAACAAUUUACACUUUCACGGAAUCCCUUUUCCCUGAAGGAGGAUUUGAAAACGUUAAUCCCCAGAUAAGAAAUCUGGGGCCCCAGAGGUGAAGGGAGCCACAACAAGGGGUUGAGAAUUUCCCCUCCUCUGUUCUCGUCUGACUUGCUUGCCAAGUCAUCCUGACGGUAAAGUGAGAAAGGGCCCUUGGUUGGCAAAGAAAGAGAAGUAUUGUAAAAAGACAACUGUUUUCAUGUGUAUUCACUGCCUCGUUUGACUGGGGCACACUUCCAUGAAGCAGAGAGGCUAAUUGCCCUUCCCUUUUUUGAAUUUGGAAGCUAAGUCUCAGAGAGGUUGACCCAUCUGACGGGGACACGAGCCGUCUGACUAAACCCUACCUCCUUUCCCCAGGGACACUGUCAAGGAGAUGGGCAGUAAGGGGGUCCAGAGACACCAGAUCAGAGAGCUAAAGUCAGCACUCCUCACGUUUGGCAUCUUCCUUUCUCUGGCAGUGCCAACAUCACCUUCUCCCUCUUUUUAGGCCCCUAUCUUACUCUUUUCAUACUGCCUCAGUUUCCCAGGGCGUCCACAGCCAUGCUAUGCUUGAGCCUGCUGUAAGAUCACUGCCCAAAGACACAGCCAGCUCCCUCCUCCCUGCCCAUCAGAUCUGACUAGUCUCAGGUCCUCUCUUCCUGUGCUUUGCUCUAAAUAAAUUUUACACUUUCUUACUCCAAACCCGGUUCUCUUUCGGCA